Molecule: ribosomal RNA, 449 nt
Filed under: uncultured bacterium
Lineage: Bacteria
Description: partial 16S ribosomal RNA
Rfam family: Bacterial small subunit ribosomal RNA
Source: RNAcentral
AGCGAACGCUGGCGGCAGGCCUAACACAUGCAAGUCGAACGAAGCCUUCGGGCUUAGUGGCGGACGGGUGAGUAACACGUGGGAACGUACCUUUUGGUUCGGAAUAACGCAGAGAAAUUUGCGCUAAUACCGAAUGAGCCCUUCGGGGGAAAGAUUUAUCGCCGAAAGAUCGGCCCGCGUUGGAUUAGGUAGUUGGUGUGGUAAAGGCGCACCAAGCCUACGAUCCAUAGCUGGUCUGAGAGGAUGAUCAGCCACACUGGGACUGAGACACGGCCCAGACUCCUACGGGAGGCAGCAGUGGGGAAUCUUGCGCAAUGGGCGAAAGCCUGACGCAGCCAUGCCGCGUGAAUGAUGAAGGUCUUAGGAUUGUAAAAUUCUUUUACCAGGGACGAUAAUGACGGUACCUGGAGAAAAAGCCCCGGCUAACUUCGUGCCAGCCGCCGCCGUAA